UAUUACCCAUGCGAAUUGCUGAUAUUAGAAAAUGUCGUUUUAUACGUAUUCAGUUAUUCCUUCCUCAUCGCGCAUGUUUUAACAGUCCUGGAUGAGAGAAACCCAAACGUUAGUCUCAACGAGGAAAAUUAUUAAACCGUAGAUAGAACUUGCAUAAGGUUCUUUAUGAACAUGAUUUUAUUAUACUGAUUGGGACACUGCUGACUUGCUCCACGUCCAUCUGCCUAACUUUUGCGAGGUGAAAAAGUAAAUGGUAACUGGGAAGAACUGAGAAAUAUGCAUGUGAAUGUUUGAGAAAAUACUAUCCUCACCUUUUUGAGUGGGUUUCACGAAGUAGGCUCAUAUGACCUUCUAAAACCACCCUUGGAAAUUCUUACUUUUCCUCGUUCCUUAAGGGUCUUUUUGAUGCGCUGAGUUGAAUUCUGAAGGAACUCAUAUGUUUGACGUGUGGAGCUUAUAUAUAUGUGGAGUUGCUUGGAGUGCAAAGUUAUUUUGUCCACCAAGUUUGUGUUUUAGGUGCUGAGUUGAGUUAUGAAGUGCAGGGUAUUUGGUGCAGUCUUUUUACUCAAACAAUUUGCUUUUCUAGUGAUUAUAUUUUUUUUGUAGAAAUAGUCUUAUUCAAUAAUUCUCCUUUUUUUUUUAAUAUGGAUUGCGUUUUAUUUUUUUAAUAUACAUAUAUUGUUGGGAGUUUUGAAAAACAAAGUUAGGGUUUACUUUUGGAUCAUGCAUUUUAUUUUUUGUUCGCUUAAUUUUUUGUUUAACUCUUAAUUUGUGCACGUAUUUUCCCAAAAUUUUAACACUCGACUAAGAUUUCAACUUAAAACUUUCUUUUCACUUUAGUUUACAAUUUUUUAUAUGUAAGCAUUGGAUUUGAGAUAGACAAGAGCUUCAUACAAACAACAAAGUCACAAUAUACUUUCACAUUAGUGAUUAGUGUAAUGUAUGAGUGUGCACAAAAAAAGUGAAUCAUUAAGGGAUUCACGGCUUUUUAUGAUAUCUUAUGCCAAAUUAUAUGUUAGGUUUUAUUAUGCAUGCAUGUUAGUGUUGGAAAUGCGAUCAACGUUUCACAUUGGCUAGAUAAGGGGAUGAUCAUAAAUAUGUAAGAGAAAACAAUUAUCAUUGAUAGUAUGAGACAUUUUAGACGAAACCAAGGGUAAAGCCAGGAGAGUUCACGUUCAACGUAAAUAAUAUUAUACAAUUGUAGAGAUAUAUGGUGGUUUGUUAUCCUUAACAAGUGAUAUUAGUUGGGCAUCAUGUCAUGACUUAGCCAUGUAAAAUCAUCAAGUAUCGAACAAAGAAAUGGAAAGCCUUAGAAGAUGCAAUUGUCACGCCCCGUCCCACACGCGUCGUUAACUUGUCGUGCCCGUGCGGAACAAAAUGCGACUUAAAAACUUUGAACCUUAAACAAAUACAAUGCAAACUUAACAGUAAAAGCAAAACCGCAACAACUUUAGUAAUGCAACCAGCCAUAACUAAUAUUAACUUUAAGUCAAGAGUUUCUACAACAGUACAAGAUACAAGUUCUUAAUACAAAAGCUUAACAAAGAAAUUCUAAAUGCCUUCAUAGCCUUCAACCUUCAAGCCCAGCUUGCUCACCUUCAAACCCAACAGCCUCACCAAUUGGGGAAGGGGAAACUUAAAAUGUAAAUCGAUGACUUAGUGAGUGAUACUUUUGAAAACUUUUUUUGGUAAAUACAAUCAAUAAAACAUUUUCAUUUUAACAUAGGCUCAACGCCUCAUUUCAUACAAAUCAUAAACCAUUGCACAACAUUUUACUCAAGAAACUUAUUACUUUCAACAUAUGAAAUUCAUAGCAUAAACUUAAUUUUAACAAUCAUCUAUAACCCGUUCUUGGCAUGAAACAUAUGGACAUACACCAUACAUCAAAAGACUUCCUCCUCUUAACAUCGGUUACAGUCCUAACUGUAUCAUUCUCCUCAUGGACACAAAGAUUUGCACCUUCCUGAUGUACAAAGAACAUAGGCUUGUCAGCCACUACAUCAGAGUACCACCAUGUGCACAUAACUGGCUAAAGAGGGUAGCAUGGAACAUAGGGCAUUGACUCCUGGAAAACAUAUUUGAAAACUUGAAUUAAACAUAACCUUUCUUUCAAAUCACAAAAUCAUAAAUAUGUUUUUUACAUAACAUACAAUGCAAUCACCUAAAACAUGUACUUUUCUUGAAACAUAACAUUAAAUCUUCCUUCAUAAUACAUGCUGAUAAACAUGUAUAAAACGACAGCAUGCUUUCUACUAUGCUGCAAAGUAACAUGAUUCAAUUCUAAGGAAAGAACCUUGGAAAACUUCUCUUCUUCUUUGAAAAAUCACUCACAGUCCUUGAAGUUCAUUCGUCGUGUAAACUCUUCCUUCCUUCAGCAGCUGAAUACCUUAACUAAACUUUCUGAGAAUUCUAAAAGAUAUAAAUAACUUAUGAAUCUUCACCUCUAAUCUUCCCUUUUUAUAAAACCCUCGACUUAACCACUUUGAGAUACCUAAUUUCAUAAUACCUAUUCACCUUUCACCUCUUAAUUCUGAGCUUUCACCUCGUACUUGCCAAAAUUUAAGUCUUUUCAUGUCUUAACACUUGGAAUACAAUUCACUGAUCACUUAAUUUUUUAAUGAUCUCAGCCGGAAUUGGCUUGAGAUCACCAUGAGAACCCCAGGAAAACAUUUCCUGUCUCCAGUCUCAGUUGAAAACAGCCAGACACAGCCCUGAGAUCUGUUAGACCACCCAUCAUACACCAGUAUAGUAGGAGAAAGAACAGGAAAGAGAAAAAGGACGAGGAGUUGGUUAUGUAACCAACUGCAGGUGGGGACCACAAGGAAAUGGAGUGUCGACGCACGAUCCCCUAAGGGGGACCAUAGUAGGGGAGUGAGGGAGCAAAUAUAAAUAGAGACGAGAAGGAAGGGAGAGGGCAGAGAAUUUUGGUUGUAAAGAAUCCUACUGUUAUUCCUUGAGAGAUAGGAAGGCAGCGGAGGGAGAGAGGAGUCUUCGACGGAGAGCAUUUUAUUUUCUUCUGUAUUUUUCAUUAGCAGCAAUAUUUCCUAUAUUGCAUCCUUUUUCCAUUGCAAACUGGGAAGGUCGGGUUCCAUCAAGAUCCUUCACAUUCCUUCUUUAAUCAUCAAUCUCGGCCGGUUAACAAAAACGAGGUCACAGGAUUGUUUUUGUCAAACCAGUCUGAAGCAGCAUGGUUGUCUGCUUUCUCUUGGUGUUUCCACCCCAUCAAUUUUGAAGCUUCCAGUGUGCAAUUUUCCAGUUAGGCUUCUUGUUGGAUUUUUUUUUGUCUGCUUUGUCAUUAAUUUCUCUUGAAUUCUUGGGGUUUAGAAGUUUUUGAUCAGCUUGUUUGUAUUUUUCGUUUAUGUUCGUUCUUUUCUCUCUUAGUAUAGUUCUCUUGUAUCUUGAGCAUUAAUCUUUUUUAAUUUUUAUCUUUAAUACAUAGCCUUGUAUCCGUUUAAAAAAGACGAAGUUUAGUGCUUGAUGAUUUGUCUUCCUGUUCAG
Cucumis sativus (cucumber) is the source of this 3498-nucleotide long non-coding RNA. RefSeq lists it as uncharacterized. Lineage: Eukaryota; Viridiplantae; Streptophyta; Magnoliopsida; Cucurbitales; Cucurbitaceae. The transcript is spliced from 2 exons. The record is from RefSeq and is a predicted model, not a curated record.